GCUGAGUCCAAGGUUUUCCAAGGAGACUAUGGUGUAGGACAGUAUCGGUGAGAGCGAGAUUCCGUUACUGAAGAAAAGAAGGAAGAGGAUAGGAUUAGUUAGGUGUAUUGGUAAAGGCAGGCAUGCGUGAGAGGGAUUAAAUAGGAGUGAAAAAAAUCUAAAACGUGGGCAUAAGAAUUGCUGGUCAUCCGAAGCGGAGGUACUAAUUAAUAGCAGAGCUAGAAUCUAGGCCGAGUGGGGUUAAACCCGAUUAGUGGAAUUUUCAAAAACCUGGCCCGGAAGAUUGCCCAGCGCAGCCGAGUCAGUGAUUUUGCCCGAGGGAGAUAAUUUCUGGAGAGGAUGUGCCAGAUGAGCCGACCGUCGAAACCAAAUUGUGAGUCCGUUCCGUGCCUGUUAUUUUGAGCCGUGUAUGAAGCCGAGAUUUGUGAGGGGUGCAUGUCUAACCAGGUCAAACGAACGAUCCGCGCAGAGUGACCAAGGACCGUGCCGCAGACGCAGUGGUACACGUAGUCCGAGCCGUUGGACUCUGCCGGAGCCACCUCUACGAUCACCUAAGGAUUUGCACUCACGUUUGCACUCACGUUUACACUCAAUUUUGCACCUACAUAUUGGCAGAUCGACGAUCGCCCACAGUACAUAUAUUUUUUUUGGGAAUUGUUCCUCACACUCCUCGCAAGCCGUUACGGACACAUAUGUGCCCGACAGUAUUCGUAUUGUCCAUCGUGUUGUCCCUAUUAUAUGUGUUAAUUGUUAUUUAUUAGUAAUUUAAGCAAACCCUAACGUAAAAAAACACUUUUGUAAACGCCAAACAUUGGCGCCGACAUAGACACAAAACAAAACAUAUGGUAGGAUUAACCCUUGUGCGCGGCGCGGGGUCCCACAAGCCCACCGUUUUGGUGAAAUAUUGUUUGGUCAUUUUUGUUGUCGAUGGCCUUGUUUAUAUCUGCCCCUAUGACCCUUAACAAGAGCUCUUGGUAGGUUAGUCUCGGGAGGGCCC
Long non-coding RNA from Drosophila obscura, 997 nucleotides. RefSeq lists it as uncharacterized. The transcript is spliced from 2 exons. NCBI's taxonomy places the organism in Eukaryota, Metazoa, Arthropoda, Insecta, Diptera, Drosophilidae. The record is from RefSeq and is a predicted model, not a curated record.